GGGGGCGUGCCUAACCCAUGCAAAUUCGAACGGUAACACUUUCGGGUGACGAGUGGCGGACGGUUGAGUAACGCGUAGGAAUCUGCCCUAAAGUGAGGGAUAAGCUCGAGAAAUCGAGUCUAAUACCGCAUAUGGUCUUCGGAUUAAAGGAUUUAUCCGCUUUGGGAGGAGCCUGCGUUGGAUUAGGUUGUUGGUGAGGUAAUGGCUCACCAAGCCGACGAUCCAUAGCUGGUCUGAGAGGAUGACCAGCCAGACUGGAACUGAGACACGGUCCAGACUCCUACGGGAGGCAGCAGUGGGGAAUCUUCCACAAUGGGCGAAAGCCUGAUGGAGCAACGCCGCGUGAAGGAUGAAGGCCUUAGGGUUGUAAACUUCUUUUAUUUGUGAAGAAUAUGACGGUAGCAAAUGAAUAAGCACCGGCUAACUACGUGCCAGCAGCCGCGGUAAUACGUAGGUGGCGAGCGUUAUCCGGAAUUAUUGGGCGUAAAGAGCGCGCAGGUGGUUGAUUAAGUCUGAUGUGAAAGCCCACGGCUUAACCGUGGAGGGUCAUUGGAAACUGGUCGACUUGAGUGCAGAAGAGGGAAGUGGAAUUCCAUGUGUAGCGGUGAAAUGCGUAGAGAUAUGGAGGAACACCAGUGGCGAAGGCGGCUUCCUGGUCUGUAACUGACACUGAGGCGCGAAAGCGUGGGGAGCAAACAGGAUUAGAUACCCUGGUAGUCCACGCCGUAAACGAUGAGUGCUAAGUGUUGGGGGUCGAACCUCAGUGCUGAAGUUAACGCAUNAAGC
RNAcentral lists this ribosomal RNA (786 nucleotides) under uncultured bacterium. RNAcentral describes it as "bacterial SSU rRNA". It matches the Rfam family "Bacterial small subunit ribosomal RNA", at positions 38 to 865 of the family's 1533-position model. The record is from RNAcentral.